Penaeus monodon (black tiger shrimp) is the source of this 191-nucleotide small nucleolar RNA. RefSeq annotates it as small nucleolar RNA SNORA23. The transcript has a single exon. The record is from RefSeq and is a predicted model, not a curated record. Lineage: Eukaryota; Metazoa; Arthropoda; Malacostraca; Decapoda; Penaeidae.
UCCUUUGUGUGUGUGUGGUGUGCGUGUGUGUGUGGUUGUGUUGUGUGUGUGUGUGAGAGGUCUGUUGUGUGUGUAAAUAAACAUAAACUACACACACACACACACAAACCACACACACACACACACACACACAUCUAUAUAUAAUAUAUAUAUAUCUAUAUAUAUAUAGAUAUAUAUAUAUAUAUAUAUAU